AACGAACGCUGGCGGCAUGCCUAACACAUGCAAGUCGAACGAGACCUUCGGGUCUAGUGGCGCACGGGUGCGUAACGCGUGGGAACCUGCCCUUAGGUUCGGAAUAACUCCCCGAAAGGGGUGCUAAUACCGGAUAAUGUCUUCGGACCAAAGGUUUAUCGCCUUUGGAUGGGCCCGCGUUGGAUUAGCUAGUUGGUAGGGUAAAAGCCUACCAAGGCGACGAUCCAUAGCUGGUCUGAGAGGAUGAUCAGCCACACUGGGACUGAGACACGGCCCAGACUCCUACGGGAAGCAGCAGUGGGGAAUAUUGGACAAUGGGCGAAAGCCUGAUCCAGCAAUGCCGCGUGAGUGAUGAAGGCCUUAGGGUUGUAAAGCUCUUUUACCCGGGAUGAUAAUGACAGUACCGGGAGAAUAAGCUCCGGCUAACUCCGUG
RNAcentral lists this ribosomal RNA (433 nucleotides) under uncultured bacterium. Its description in RNAcentral is "partial 16S ribosomal RNA". It matches the Rfam family "Bacterial small subunit ribosomal RNA", at positions 29 to 507 of the family's 1533-position model. The record is from RNAcentral.